AGAGUUUGAUCCUGGCUCAGAAUCAACGCUGGCGGCGUGCCUAACACAUGCAAGUCGAACGAGAAAGGGACUUCGGUCCUGAGUAAAGUGGCGCACGGGUGAGUAACACGUGACUAACCUACCCUUGAGUGGGGAAUAACUAGGAGAAAUCUUAGCUAAUACCGCAUAAUACCUACGGGUCAAAGGAGCAAUUCGCUUAAGGAGGGGGUCGCGGCAGAUUAGUUAGUUGGCGGGGUAAUGGCCCACCAAGACGGUGAUCUGUAUCCGGCCUGAGAGGGCGCACGGACACACUGGAACUGAAACACGGUCCAGACUCCUACGGGAGGCAGCAGUGGGGAAUUUUGCGCAAUGGGGGAAACCCUGACGCAGCAACGCCGCGUGGAGGAUGAAGUCCCUUGGGACGUAAACUCCUUUCGAUCGGGACGAUAAUGACGGUACCGAGAGAAGAAGCCCCGGCUAACUUCGUGCCAGCAGCCGCGGUAAUACGAGGGGGGCGAGCGUUGUUCGGAAUUAUUGGGCGUAAAGGGUGCGUAGGCGGUUCGGUAAGUCUUAUGUGAAAUCUUCAGGCUCAACUUGAAGUCUGCAUGAGAAACUGCCGGGCUUGAGUGUGGGAGAGGUGAGUGGAAUUUCCGGUGUAGCGGUGAAAUGCGUAGAUAUCGGAAGGAACACCUGUGGCGAAAGCGGCUCACUGGACCACAACUGACGCUGAUGCACGAAAGCUAGGGGAGCAAACAGGAUUAGAUACCCUGGUAGUCCUAGCCCUAAACGAUGAUCGCUUGGUGUGACGGGUACCCAAUCCCGCCGUGCCGAAGCUAACGCGUUAAGCGAUCCGCCUNGGGGAGUACGGUCGCAAGGCUGAAACUCAAAGGAAUGACGAA
Molecule: ribosomal RNA, 878 nt
Filed under: uncultured bacterium
Lineage: Bacteria
Description: bacterial SSU rRNA
Rfam family: Bacterial small subunit ribosomal RNA
Source: RNAcentral